This 94-nucleotide transfer RNA is filed under the name Daldinia sp. FL1419. RNAcentral's name for it is "tRNA-Glu". It matches the Rfam family "tRNA". From Rfam's summary of the family: Transfer RNA (tRNA) molecules are approximately 80 nucleotides in length. Their secondary structure includes four short double-helical elements and three loops (D, anti-codon, and T loops). Further hydrogen bonds mediate the characteristic L-shaped molecular structure. tRNAs have two regions of fundamental functional importance: the anti-codon, which is responsible for specific mRNA codon recognition, and the 3' end, to which the tRNAs corresponding amino acid is attached (by aminoacyl-tRNA synthetases). tRNAs cope with the degeneracy of the genetic code in two manners: having more than one tRNA (with a specific anti-codon) for a particular amino acid; and 'wobble' base-pairing, i.e. permitting non-standard base-pairing at the 3rd anti-codon position. Lineage: Eukaryota; Fungi; Ascomycota; Sordariomycetes; Xylariales; Hypoxylaceae. The record is from RNAcentral.
UCCGAAUUGGUGUAGUGGCUAACAUUUGACGCUCUCAAGGUUCCUUGAUCUUGGAAGCACCGUCAAGCCCGGGGUUCGAUUCCCCGAUUCGGAG